AGAGCGAACGCUGGCGGCAGGCUUAACACAUGCAAGUCGAGCGCCCCGCAAGGGGAGCGGCAGACGGGUGAGUAACACGUGGGAACGUGCCUUUUGGUUCGGAACAACCCAGGGAAACUUGGGCUAAUACCGGAUAAGCCCUUACGGGGAAAGAUUUAUCGCCAAAAGAUCGGCCCGCGUCUGAUUAGCUAGUUGGUGGGGUAAUGGCCCACCAAGGCUACGAUCAGUAGCUGGUCUGAGAGGAUGAUCAGCCACAUUGGGACUGAGACACGGCCCAAACUCCUACGGGAGGCAGCAGUGGGGAAUAUUGGACAAUGGGGGCAACCCUGAUCCAGCCAUGCCGCGUGAGUGAUGAAGGCCUUAGGGUUGUAAAGCUCUUUUAGCAGGGAAGAUAAUGACGGUACCUGCAGAAAAGCCCGGCUAACUUCGUGCCAGCAGCCGC
This 442-nucleotide ribosomal RNA is filed under the name uncultured bacterium. RNAcentral describes it as "SSU rRNA". It matches the Rfam family "Bacterial small subunit ribosomal RNA", at positions 26 to 518 of the family's 1533-position model. The record is from RNAcentral.